AGUGAACGCUGGCGGUAGGCCUAACACAUGCAAGUCGAACGGCAGCACAGUAAGAGCUUGCUCUUACGGGAGGCGAGUGGCGGACGGGUGAGGAAUACAUCGGAAUCUACUUUUUCGUGGGGGAUAACGUAGGGAAACUUACGCUAAUACCGCAUACGACCUACGGGUGAAAGCAGGGGAUCUUCGGACCUUGCGCGAUUGAAUGAGCCGAUGUCGGAUUAGCGAGUUGGCGGGGUAAAGGCCCACCAAGGCGACGGUCCGUAGCUGGUGUGAGAGGAUGAUCAGGCACACUGGAACUGAGCCACGGUCCAGACUCCUACGGGAGGCAGAAGUGGGGAAUAUUGGACAAAGGGGGCAAGCCUGAUCCAGCCAUACCGCGUGGGUGAAGCAGGCCUUCGGGUUGUAAAGCCCUUUUGUUGGGAAAGAAAAGCAGCAGGUUAAUACCCCGCUGUUCUGACGGUACCCAAAGAAUAAGCACCGGCUAACUUCGUG
RNAcentral lists this ribosomal RNA (492 nucleotides) under uncultured bacterium. RNAcentral's name for it is "partial 16S ribosomal RNA". It matches the Rfam family "Bacterial small subunit ribosomal RNA", at positions 29 to 507 of the family's 1533-position model. The record is from RNAcentral.